AUUGAACGCUGGCGGCAUGCUUUACACAUGCAAGUCGAACGGCAGCGCGGGCUUCGGCCUGGCGGCGAGUGGCGAACGGGUGAGUAAUGCAUCGGAACGUGCCCAGUAGUGGGGGAUAGCCCGCCCAAAGCCGGAUUAAUACCGCAUACGACCUGAGGGGGAAAGCGGGGGACGGAAAGGCCUCGCGCUAUUGGAGCGGCCGAUGCCGGAUCAGCCAGUUGGUGGGGUAAAGGCUUACCAAGGCGACUAUCGGUAGCUGGUCUGAGUGGACGACCGGCCACACUGGGACUGAGACACGGCCCAGACUCCUACGGGAGGCAGCAGUGGGGAAUGUUGGACAAUGGGGGCAACCCUGAUCCAGCCAUGCCGCGUGCGGGAAGAAGGCCUUCGGGUUGUAAACCGCUUUUGUUCGGGAAGAAAUCCUCUGGGCUAAUACCCCGGGGGGAUGACGGUACCGGAAGAAUAAGCACCGGCUAACUACGUG
This 484-nucleotide ribosomal RNA is filed under the name uncultured bacterium. RNAcentral describes it as "partial 16S ribosomal RNA". It matches the Rfam family "Bacterial small subunit ribosomal RNA", at positions 28 to 507 of the family's 1533-position model. The record is from RNAcentral.